AGCUCGUUAGCUCAGCGGUUAGAGCGCCCAACUGAUUCAGAGGUGGUCGGGGGUUCAAAUCCCUCACGAGCUG
Molecule: non-coding RNA, 73 nt
Organism: Eumeta japonica
Lineage: Eukaryota; Metazoa; Arthropoda; Insecta; Lepidoptera; Psychidae
Source: the annotation of a GenBank genome assembly